GACGAACGCUGGCGGCGUGCUUAACACAUGCAAGUCGAACGGAAAGGCCCUGCUUUUGUGGGGUGCUCGAGUGGCGAACGGGUGAGUAACACGUGAGUAACCUGCCCUUGACUUUGGGAUAACUUCAGGAAACUGGGGCUAAUACCGGAUAGGAGCUCCUGCUGCAUGGUGGGGGUUGGAAAGUUUCGGCGGUUGGGGAUGGACUCGCGGCUUAUCAGCUUGUUGGUGGGGUAGUGGCUUACCAAGGCUUUGACGGGUAGCCGGCCUGAGAGGGUGACCGGCCACAUUGGGACUGAGAUACGGCCCAGACUCCUACGGGAGGCAGCAGUGGGAAAUAUUGCACAAUGGGCGGAAGCCUGAUGCAGCAACGCCGCGUGCGGGAUGACGGCCUUCGGGUUGUAAACCGCUUUCGCCUGUGACAAAGCGUGAGUGACGGUAAUGGGUAAAGAAGCACCGGCUAACUACGUG
Molecule: ribosomal RNA, 468 nt
Filed under: uncultured bacterium
Lineage: Bacteria
Description: partial 16S ribosomal RNA
Rfam family: Bacterial small subunit ribosomal RNA
Source: RNAcentral